This 314-nucleotide ribosomal RNA is filed under the name Acanthamoeba genotype T3. RNAcentral's name for it is "SSU rRNA". The stretch from base 1 to 258 matches the Rfam family "Eukaryotic small subunit ribosomal RNA", at positions 852 to 1116 of the family's 1831-position model. The record is from RNAcentral. Lineage: Eukaryota; Discosea; Longamoebia; Acanthamoebidae.
GAGGGCGAGGGUAAUGAUUAAUAGGGAUAGUUGGGGGCAUUAAUAUUUAAUUGUCAGAGGUGAAAUUCUUGGAUUUAUGAAAGAUUAACUUCUGCGAAAGCAUCUGCCAAGGAUGUUUUCAUUAAUCAAGAACGAAAGUUAGGGGAUCGAAGACGAUCAGAUACCGUCGUAGUCUUAACCAUAAACGAUGCCGACCAGCGAUUAGGAGACGUUGAAUACAAAACACCACCAUGCGCAUUGCGGUCGUCUUUGGUGUCGUCACAAGGCGGCACCGGGGCGGCUUAGCUCGCAUGGCACCGGUGAAUGACUCCCUA